UUAUCAAAUCAUUCACUCAUUUUCUGCCGCUUACCUGUUUCCAGGUCGUGGGGGGUGCUGGAGCCAAUCCCAGCUCACAUUGGGUGAGGGCGGGUUGCACCCUGAACAGGUCGCUGGUCCAUCACAGGGCCAACAUACGCAGACAGAGACCCAACAACCACUCACACUCACACUCAGACCUGCGGACAAUUUAGAGUCACCAGUCAACCAAAACAUUCAUGUCUGUGGAUGGUGGGAGGAAACAUGAAACACGAUAACAUGCAAACUCCACACACAAAGGCCCCAGGCCCGGGAACCAAACCCAUGACCUUAUUGUUGUGGGGCAACAGUGCUAACCACUAUGCCACCGUGCUGCCCAUUUAUCACAUCUUUAGAUGUAAAUUGGUUAAAAAAUAUAUUAUUUUUUUUUAAGAUUUUAACAUUUUUAAAGGGUAUAGAGCAUCGAGUAGUUGCCUGGAUGUCUAAUGUGUAUAUUUUCCCAUGGAGACGGCCGGCCAGAUUCUUGGGGCGGACAUCGGUCAAGGAGGACAAGACCAGCAGACCGUACCACCAAAUGUUGAAUCCUCUGAGCAGAUGAAUGACUCUCCUAAGCAGAGCACCAAGGCUGGGUGGUUCAGUGGUUGGUUCGCAUCAAAGCCCAAAGCUCUCCAAAAGGAGAGCUCAGAGCAGAGAGGCCCACCUCAAACAGCUGUACCACCUACAGCUGGAUCCCAGCAGCCCUCCUCUAGCGGGAUAAAUCCUUUUUCAAGGAAAGCAGGUGAG
RNAcentral lists this long non-coding RNA (762 nucleotides) under Echeneis naucrates (live sharksucker). Its description in RNAcentral is "lncRNA (ENSENLG00000019246.1)". The record is from RNAcentral. Lineage: Eukaryota; Metazoa; Chordata; Actinopteri; Carangiformes; Echeneidae.